GAGGACCUGCGCUCGCGGGGGCUGCUGCGCUCUGCGCUGGGGCCUCUCGGGCUGGGAAUGCGUGGCCCGGCUUUUGAGGAUUUCCUCGGUCCCCGGGCGGAAAUAGCUGGAAUGGAGGGGCCUCUCGAUUGGAGACUUACUGGUCAAAUAUUUACUUUUGUUGAUCACUGGAAACGCUACCUACCACGCAUUGACUAGGACCACAGUGAGGAGGGAACGCUUUAGAUGAUAGAGUUUUGUUUGGGGGCUUUUUUUUGUUUUGUUUUAUUCCAGGAAUUCAGGAAAUUGCCCCAGAAGUCCGAUUUCUGAUGUGUAAAACCUUUUUUUACAGAAAACCACGACUUCCUGGAAAAGUCUUCACCGUAAAUAUUAAUCUCUUUGGCAUGAAGAGGAAAACACUGCAGCUAAUUUUUCAUGGGAUAACAAAAAUAUAAACUGCAAUUUCUUUUAUUUUUUCCCUUUCGAUGGUCUUUUUAAACGAGGAGUAAAGAUUUCAACGCCAGGUCCAUUUUCCAAAUUUUGUACCAGAACCUUGAGGAUGCUUGUCUCUCGCGCGCUUCUCCGCAGACCGAACCCUCUCCGGAACUCAGAGCUGUUCACCCAAGUCAGCGGAGGAGGCCUCCUGGGACUUGAGCCUGAGGGUGGCGAAGAACCCUAGGCAGAGAUCAUCAACUUGGUACCGAUGAGUGACGCGGAGCUUGAACAUUCCAGCGACUUGCUCCAGGGCCACUCCCAGUUAAGAGGCUGAGUGUUAACUGCAAGAGGCUGAGUGUUAACUACGCCGUUGGCUCCAGGAACCGAACCGGGUUUGGAUACAGACCCAGUCACACCAUCCAUGAAAAGCUGUUUCUAUAAUAUGAAAAAUUGUUAAAUGACGCUUUAGUAAAAGCCAUUUAAAGAUC
This 902-nucleotide long non-coding RNA is filed under the name Homo sapiens (human). RNAcentral describes it as "HSALNT0332191". The record is from RNAcentral. Lineage: Eukaryota; Metazoa; Chordata; Mammalia; Primates; Hominidae.